CAUGUUUGUACAGAUACCCAUAGUGGGUUCAUUGUUGCUACCCUACAAACUGGGGAAGGCAGCAAACAGGUCAGUGCCCACCUAUUACACUGCUUUUCUGUCUUGGGGCUUCCCAAACAAAUUAAAACUGAUAAUGGUCCAGGUUAUAUCUCAAAGGAUUUUCAAGAAUUCUGUACACAGUUACACAUCGCACAUCUUACAGGGAUUCCCUGUAAUCCUCAAGGACAAGGCAUGGUAGAAAGAGCACAUUUGUCUUUAAAAACCACUACUGAAAACAUUUAAAAAGGGAGAAUGGUACCCUAGGAAAGGUACCCCCAGAAAUAUAGUAAACCAUGCCCUUCUUAGUUUAAAGUUUUAAAAAUUGGAUGCUGAUGAAAAGUGAGCUGCAGAUCACUUUUGGCACCCUAAUUCACAAAAACAGUUUGCCUCGGUCAAAUGGAAAGAUCCUUCAGAUAAAAAAUGGCGUGGACCUGACCCAGUGCUUACCUGGUGGAUAAGGUCAGUCUGUAUUUUUUCAAGAAAAUGAUGCAGUCAGAUGGCUGCCAGAGCGAUUGGUAACACAAAUUGAUAAUGAUAAUAAAUCCAGGGAAUAACCUCUUCCCUGAGAAUACGUGUUCUUUUUCUUUUCAGGAAAAAGAUUGAAUUCGGCUUGCUGGUGACGUUCCUUUGGGCGGUCCUUUGAGCCAAUGAAAAUCACUUGUGAGGCUUC
RNAcentral lists this long non-coding RNA (709 nucleotides) under Rattus norvegicus (Norway rat). RNAcentral's name for it is "long non-coding RNA NONRATT017566". Lineage: Eukaryota; Metazoa; Chordata; Mammalia; Rodentia; Muridae. The record is from RNAcentral.